GAAAUUAAAAAGAUGGUAUUAGAUAGGGGGUCUCAUUUGGGGGUUCUGAUCCUGGAUUCGGCUUACUGUUUUGUCAGAUUCCUGUAUCAUGCUUACACUAUGUACGUAAGCAAUUCUCAUUUUUUUUUGUAACUUCCUGUGUCCCGCUAGACUUCAUUUUCAGUUUUCACGGCACAAUAAUUUUGUAUUUCACGUGUCACACUUACAAGAAAUGGGCAAUCCCGCGUCACGCUUAGACCCCAAUGAGACCCACUAGAUAGAACUUGAACUUGCAUUAUGCGUGUCACUGGUCAUCUACAUGCCAUUGGUCAGAAUUUGUUUUUAAUUCUCUUUUAAAAUGGUAGAUAUGCAAUCAUUCCAGUUUCUUAGGAUUUUUUAUUUUGUCACAUGAACCAAAAACAUAUAAGUUUUGUAGUAUUUUUCUUCUUCUUAUAUUUAUCAAAUUUCUAUGUUGGGCAUCAUCAUCAAAUAUUGUAAAAUAUUAAUAAACGGAUUGUAAAUUGUUCAUAGCAUGCUUCAUAUUGAACAUCAUUCUCAUUGGAACACUGUUUUUUGUUUAGUUGAAAGUAAAUGCAGUGCAUGUUAACAUGUUAGAAAUUUUUAGAUAUCAAAUAUAUAUAUUGUUUUGUUAAGCUCAUCCAGAACCAGUAAAAGUGUGCAAUUUGAGUCAGCUAAACAAAAAAUUGCACUGUUUUUUUUAUUUUCAUUUCCUAAUCUUGGGAUGAGGUAAGGGUCAGCAAUACAUUUUUUGUAAUUUUUUGUUUGGUUUCAGAGUGUCUUUAUUUUAUUGCAGAUUUUCUUAUUAAUGUAUCUCAAAUUCUUUGUAACAUUUAAUGACAUGCAUGAACUCAAUUUCGUACAAGGAUCAUUGUAUAUCUUGGGACUUAUAAUUUUGUUAAAAAAAAAGUUUUAUUUUUUGUGAAAAUGCAAGCAUUUGGAUACUUUACCAGAAGUGUGUGUUAUAUUGAAGUGUUGAUGAAAGAUUCAAAAGUUUGGGAAAAUUAUGUUUGAAGAUUAGAAGACACAGGUUAUCCAGUUUAACACAUGGCUGUUUUGUUUUAUAAAGUUUCAGUCCUACAUAUAUAUAUGACAUUAUUGCUUAACCAUAAUUUUCUUUGUUGGUGCAAUGCUUAAACUCCAGAUACAGCCAAUUGCUAUUAACUUGAAAAUUUCAAAUUUAAAACUGAUAGGAAUUUCUUCCAACAAAACUGAUUUUUCCAGCUAUCCUUUACUGCAUAUAAUCCAAGUCUUUGACCCUAGUUUUAACAUAAGAUUAUUUUUUUUGGAACACGAUCUGUUGAUGUAGACAUGGUUUGCAGUCAUUGUAUUUAUAACCAAUUUCUUUAACAUUUCUACUGAAAAACUGUCUUCUGAUAUGCAUGUGUUCAGAUUUCUUUUAUAUACAUUAUUGUUAAAUAUUUACAAAAAAAUAAAGUUUUAUUACA
RNAcentral lists this long non-coding RNA (1445 nucleotides) under Mytilus galloprovincialis (Mediterranean mussel). The record is from RNAcentral. Lineage: Eukaryota; Metazoa; Mollusca; Bivalvia; Mytilida; Mytilidae.